This 520-nucleotide ribosomal RNA is filed under the name Streptomyces sp. WAC 01420. RNAcentral describes it as "bacterial SSU rRNA". It matches the Rfam family "Bacterial small subunit ribosomal RNA", at positions 12 to 522 of the family's 1533-position model. Lineage: Bacteria; Bacillati; Actinomycetota; Actinomycetes; Kitasatosporales; Streptomycetaceae. The record is from RNAcentral.
UUUGAUCCUCGGCUCAGGAUGAACGCUAGCGGCAGGCUUAAUACAUGCAAGUCGAGGGGCAGCAGCUUUAUAGCAAUAUAGAGGCUGGCGACCGGCAAACGGGUGCGGAACACGUACACAACCUUCCUUGAAUAGGGGGAUAGCCCAUAGAAAUGUGGAUUAAUACCCCGUAAUAUAGCGGUGUGGCAUCACACUGUUAUUAUAGUUUCGGCGAUUCGAGAUGGGUGUGCGGCUGAUUAGGUAGUUGGCGGGGUAAAGGCCCACCAAGCCUUCGAUCAGUAGCUGAUGUGAGAGCAUGAUCAGCCACACGGGCACUGAGACACGGGCCCGACUCCUACGGGAGGCAGCAGUAAGGAAUAUUGGUCAAUGGACGCAAGUCUGAACCAGCCAUGCCGCGUGAAGGAUGAAGGUCCUCUGGAUUGUAAACUUCUUUUAUAGGGGGCGAAAAAAGGNNNUUCUNNNUCACUUGACAGUACCCUAUGAAUAAGCACCGGCUAACUCCGUGCCAGCNGCCGCGGUA